This 72-nucleotide transfer RNA is filed under the name Stegodyphus mimosarum. It matches the Rfam family "tRNA". Rfam says of the family: Transfer RNA (tRNA) molecules are approximately 80 nucleotides in length. Their secondary structure includes four short double-helical elements and three loops (D, anti-codon, and T loops). The record is from Rfam by way of RNAcentral. Lineage: Eukaryota; Metazoa; Arthropoda; Arachnida; Araneae; Eresidae.
GUCUUCGUGGUGUAGUGGUCAGCACUCUCGGCGCGAAUUCGAGAGGUCCGUGGUUCGAUUCCCGCGAGGACA